Molecule: small nuclear RNA, 101 nt
Filed under: Saimiri boliviensis boliviensis (Bolivian squirrel monkey)
Lineage: Eukaryota; Metazoa; Chordata; Mammalia; Primates; Cebidae
Description: U4 spliceosomal RNA (ENSSBOG00000010849.1)
Rfam family: U4 spliceosomal RNA (bases 1-67)
About the family: U4 small nuclear RNA (U4 snRNA) is a component of the major U2-dependent spliceosome. The structure of U4 snRNA from yeast and human has been reported. U4 snRNA presents a k-turn RNA motif in the 5p-SL related to recognition of Snu13 protein.
Source: RNAcentral
AGCUUUGCGCAGUGGCAGUAUCGUAGCCAAUGAGGUUUAUCCGAGGCGCGAUUAUUGCUAAUUAAAGUGGGAUCAUAAAUAGUUUAGAGAUCAACCAUGAG